Molecule: transfer RNA, 72 nt
Filed under: Elusimicrobiaceae bacterium
Lineage: Bacteria; Pseudomonadati; Elusimicrobiota; Elusimicrobia; Elusimicrobiales; Elusimicrobiaceae
Description: tRNA-Arg
Rfam family: tRNA
About the family: Transfer RNA (tRNA) molecules are approximately 80 nucleotides in length.
Source: RNAcentral
GCGCCUAUAGCUCAAUGGAUAGAGCACCAGCCUGCGGAGCUGGGGAUACAAGUUCGAUUCCUGUUAGGCGCA